AGUGGGAGCCAGGCUGGAGUCCGCUGGUGGAAGACAGGACACAGGCUGGAAAGGAAAACCCAACACGAUGACUGCCCCUCGCAGGCCACAGUCAGCCCGGCCCCAGGAGAGAGACCCGUGGAGCCCUAUGUCUCAGCAGGCAAGACCACCCUGGCCUGCCAUGCCUCCAUCCUAUGCCUAUAAAAACCCAAGACCCUAGCAAGGCAGAGACAGAAGCCUCUGUGUGGGGAGAGGAACACACUGGUGGAAGAAGACAAGCUGCUGGACAUCCCGAGAAUGUUGCCUGACUCCAGGGGAAAACCAUCUCCCCUCUGGCUCCCCCAUCUGCUGAGAGCUACUUCCACUCAAUAAAACCUUGCACUCAUUCUCCAAGCCCACGUGUGAUCCAAUUUUUUGGUACACCAAGGCAAGAAACCCUGGGAUACAGAAAUUCCUCUGUCCUUGUUAUAAGGCAGGGGUCUAAUUGAGCUCACUCUCACCAGCCACCUACAGACCGCUAGACUAAAAGACCACCCGGUAACGCACUCCCACUGGGGUUUCAAGAGCUGUAAACAUUCACCCCCAGACACUGCCAUGGGGUCAGAGCCCCACAGCCUGCCCGUCUGUAUGCUCCCCUAGAGGUGUGAGCGGUGGGGCACUGAAGAAGCGAGCCACUCCCCCGCUGCAUGCCCUGCGCCCUGCGCGGGGUAACCAGGGAACCCUUCCUGUUUCACUGUUUCACUGGGUAGAGAUCUCCCGGCUGGAGACAGAAUGGUGGGGAGAGGCCAGAUGUGCCCAGCAGCAGAUCCUGAGCCAGAGAAGGCCAUCAAUUAUUCAGCUCCUGCCUCUCAGCCUCCUCCGUUAGUACCUCUUAAAGCCGGGAAGAUAAAUCUCUCCGCUUGCUCCGUGGCGCCGACAGGAAGCAGGGCGGCACCAGGACCGUGACAGGCCCCGGCUGGGCCCCGGUUUCCCGAGCCAGCACAGGCGGCCUGCAAGGCUUCUCUGCUAUUAAAUCCAUAAUUCAGCGGCAACGCAGCUGGGGCCUGGCACACAGGGUCCCUGUGAUGAGGAGGGGCUGCCCCUGCCGGAAUGCACCAGAGGCUGCCACCAGGGAGAGAGUUACAAGGACCACUUCCGUGGACCUGGCAGGUCCUAGGGCCCCCUUUAAAAUUGUGCCUGGGGAGAGUCCCUGGCGCUGCUCCGGAGGAUCAUGGAGCCCGACUCUACUCACAGGGGAGACCACACAGCUUCUGCGGGGCAAGACAGCUGAGGAGCAUGUCAGGACAGUGCCAUCUGCCACCAAGGCAGCUCCAGAGAGUGGGACAGCUGUGAGAGGCGGGACCUGUCCAGGCUCCCUGAUGGGCACUCACAGCCCCCUUCACCCUCAGCGAGGCACUUGCCCCAAUGAAAACUGAGCAGUUGGACAAUCUGAUGUCUUGGAGGGUCCAGGUCAGCCCCCCACCCCAAUGCCCAGCCCUGCAUAACCAAGGAAGCGUUUGUUGAAUGGCUGAGUCCCACCCCUGCUCCAACCUUGGCAGGCCUUGGAGUGUCCCCGGCAGGAAGUGGAGGGUGAACACAGGGGGACAAAGUAACAGGGCAGCAGAGCUGGGGUGGGGCCAGGCUGGGCAGACUGGGGAAUGAGACCUACUCAGAACACCGCCCUCGGCAGAGCCACCCACCCCUAUCCUUGCAAACCCUCUGCCCCAGGGCCCACUCUAAACCCAUGAGAGCUGUGGCAGGACAGGGUGACUCCAGGCCUGGCCAGGAGGCUCCGGCUGACUCCGCCCCCUUCUCCUUCCCCUCCCCACUUCCCAUUCCACAGGCCUCCACAGGGCAGGGGCCGUGACAGGGGUGACAGAAGUUCGGAGAGGUCACUGAGUCCCUGCAAUUAGCAGUAAUGAGUUGACACAUGCCACAGGUCAAGUGCUAAUGCAGGCUGAUAAUUAACUCAACCUGCUAGGAAGCGGUGCAGCCCCUCCUCCCUCUGAUCAAUUAUCCUCAGGAUGUUGAACAGCCCCGCCCCAGGGCUAAUGGGGUCACAUUCCAACCAUAAUGACGUGGCUGCUGCACCAGAAACACUGGGCUGGUGCCGGGAACACCCCCAUCCCAGACUGGAGACCUCCCCCAGCCCCUCCAGAUGAGGGUCCUGCCCUGCUCACUGGCUCCUGCCCCAACCCUGCUCCUGGGGCCUUCCUGACUCGCCACCUUGCACUUCCCAGGGACAGUACACCCAGCAGCCUGUCCCAGCCUAUGUCUCAGCAGACCAGGCUCUGCGAGACACCCCCUCCAGCCUCCACCUCCCAGCACUGCCUCCAGAACAGGGGCCAUUCAGACUCGUGGCUUGCUGUCCUCUGCCCUGCAUCUCAGGCUGCUCCCAGCCCAUGUCCAGUUUUGGGUGCUAGCCACAGUGCUACACUGACCAUCUGGUACCUGCUUCUGCCACAGCUUCGGGGCCCUCCUGGGGCCAGCCAGCCCUGGACAAAGCAGACCCGACCCCUCCCUCCCUCUGGGCCUUGACCUCUGUUUCUGUUGCCAGCUGUGGUACCUGAGCCAGCAGCAACCCAAACAGGGAAGCAAGAAACUCUGUAGCUGCUUCUGUGCCUCUUUCUUCUUGGGGACAAGCCAAGCCUGUGUCUCCAUCUCACUCAAUCGUCGGGUCUGUGCCCAAGGUCAGGGCCAUCGUGCUCCAUCCAUGGGCCGGCCUUGUCUUAGAGGCCGAGGGGCCUGGCCCCAUCUGUGCCUGGCUUGGUAACAGUUCUGCAGUGUCCCAGGAAUAUUCCCUUGCCCAUCUCAGGACAGGAGCUCACUCUGAGGGCCUGCCCCUCUUUGGGAACUACCCCCUCUGGCAGCUGGGGGUGAGCAUGCUAGGUCUCAGUGAGCACAUCUCUCAGGUCCCUGACCCCUGGGCACCCCCGUAGGCUUCUUGUAUUGCCGGGGGGCAGGAAUGGGCCCCUCCUGCAUGCUGCCCCCACAUGGUAGGGCCCAGACCUCCGUCUCCCCUGCAGUCCCACAGCCCCUGCCAAGGGCAUCUGCGACUGGAAACUCCACCGCGGUGAUCCUGAGCUGCUGGGAAGAUGGGUUUUGAUGGUACCGCUGCUCAGAGGGCAAGGGGCACCAGUGCCAGCCACCACAUCAGGCACCAUCUGCUGGUGCAGGAGGCCGGUGAGGGAGCCGAGGGGACACUCAGUUCAGAACGUCCUCUGCCCUGUGGCAGCGAGAUUGUUGCGGCUUCACAGCAAGCAAAUGCACGUUCCAUGGGCUUAAUUCUAUCAAUCCCCAAAGACCUGAUGGCCCCUGCGUGCGGGGUGUCGCGCUUCAGUGCACACGGGGGGCCUUAAGCAGCGAGGUCCACACAGACCCCAGGAGUGGCCAGGAACCCUCUAGGGUCUGUGGCACUCAGGCCAGAGGCUGGGAAUUCAGAGCCUUAUGACCAAGGGGCCCAGGAAGUCCUUGAGAAGAAUCACCUCUGAAACAUUCUGGGAGCGCCUCCCAGGCAGCCGGCACUACACGGGGCACCUACACGCGUUUCCUUGCUAACUGACCAUCCCAUUGUAUGGGUGACAAAACUGAGGUUCUAAGAUGAGCAGAGGCUCAGCCCUCAUCUCACAUGAGGCAGAGCUGGGAUUCCCACCCAGGACCAUCCAGGUUAGAGCCCACCCAGCUGUCUCCAGUAGGUGCAGACGCAGGUGGGGCUCAGAAGCUGGCAGACAGGCUGGGGCACCCAGCCCCCUCCCUGGUGGUUGCUGUCCUCUCCACACGGGCCAUGGCGAAGCUCUCAAAAGCAAACGCUGGGCCGUGCCCCAGCCCCUGGGUCUUCAGCAGUUGCUCCCGUCUCUCAAAAACUAGUUCUCACCUCCAGUGAUCAGAAGCUGGGACCACAAAGGUUUCAUCCCAUGCGGGCCACCGAGCAGGCUGUGGCUCUCUGGGCACAGGAGGGAGGUCAGCUGUCAGCCAGUCCCAUCCAGCCCCUGCCCAGGUGUAUGGCCUCCUCCCCUCCGUCUGCUACCUCACCCCUGCUCCUGGUGCUGAAGCACAUAACCCAGUGCCAAAAUGUGCCUCCCCCGAAAAGCCACCCCUUACACCUGCCCACCAUCAUCAGUCACAGCUGCAAGAGUUUUCCAAUGUCCCCAGCUCACCCUGCCACUCUCUCCCCCAGCCCCCCAGCAGGCCCCCAUCCACCCCCAGUCCUCAGCCCUGACUUGAAUUUCUGCGUUCUGUGCUUUGCACGUCUGUGCCACCAAGUCACUGAGGCCAGGGGCAGGUCUUAUUUGCAGCCUUGAGGCUAUUGAGAAAAGUUUAGGCAGAAAGGGAGGAAGGAAGGGAGGGAGGGAGGGAGGGAAGAGGGAAGGAAGGAAGGAAGGAAGGAAGGAAGGAAGGAAGGAAGGGUAGGGAGGGAGAGAGGGAGGGACACAGGGUGUCCUCUUAUUUUUUACUUUUUUUUUUUUUUUGAGACAGAGUCUCACUCUGUUGCCCAGGCUGGAGUGCGAUGGCAUGAUCUCGGCUCCCUGCAAUCUCCACCUCCCAGGUUCAAGCAAUUCUCCUACCUCAGCCUCCUGAGUAGCUGGGAUCACAGGCACACACCACCAUGCCCGGCUAAUUUUUGUAUUUUUAGUAGAGACGGGGUUUCACCAUGUUGGCCAGGCUGGUCUCCAACUCCUGACCUCAAGUGAUCAGCCUGCCUCGGGCUCCUAAAGUGCUGGGAUUACAGGCGUGAGCCACCGCGCCCGGCCAUAGGGCAUCCUCUUAAUUAGAGUGUGAGGCCUGCGGAUAUGGGCUGGGGAAUAAGUUGAUGCUGACAGAAAAUAACUUAAACCAUUGAAAGGAACAGGAAGUAAACAGAAGCAAAUAUUUACCGAAUCCCUGGUGAGAAGGAACUUUCCAAGAAUAAAGGGAAGGAUGAGUUCACUUUGACUGUGUGGAAGCUAAAUUCUCAGGUGGCUCAAAGGAAAACAUCAAGCUAAAAGACAAGAAAUGAGGCGGGUAAAUUUUUGACACUAACAUGACAAAAAAUUAAUAGCAUUAACACGGCAGGAACUUAUCUGAAGCAGCAACACCAAGGGCAAUGUGAGUGAACUGCAGACAAGGCAACCCGGACGCCAUGGGACACGCCACAGAGCAGGCUGCCUUGUCCCCACUCUGCCUACAUGUGAGACCCACCAGACUCACAGUGAACACAUCCCAGCCCCUCCGGCCGGGCACCACGGAAGGCCCUCCCUCCUCCACUGAGGGCAGGGAUCACAGGGCCAGGUUUUUGUCAUCGGACAAGGGGUGUCCCAAGUCAUGAGAUGCUUAACCCAUGAAUGCCCCCUCUUGGAGUCUAUGCUAAUUAAACACGUAGAGGGGCGGACUUCACUCUGCCAGCUCAGAUAAUGACCACAGCAUAUUUAUAACCACAAAGAGGUGGAAACAGCUACACUAUCCAACAGUGGGGAAAUGUUUAAGUCAAUGCUGGGAGAGUAACACCAUGGACCAGCCCCGAAGAGACAUCUGUGGUGAGUGAAAUGCACGCCAUACAAGCCCAGAGAGACUGUGAACUUGGAAGAAAGAAUAGGUGCACACAAUAAGACUGGGAGGAAAUGAACAAACUAUCAUCGGCCAUGAGGUUCUCCUUUACUUACAAUAAGUAUAUGCAGCACAGACAUGAGAAAGGCAUUCCUGGAGUGUGAAGCCCAGGGCAAGAGGAUGCGGGUGUCCUGAGCAAGCAAUAAUGCCAGCACCUUCUGCAAGGAGCUCUGCUGGGCCACCUCUUGGGCAACAAACCAUCCUGGGACAUCUUGCAGACAAGGAAACAGGCUUCAGGAGGCAAUGGUGCCUCUUGAAGGGCAGGGCACACAGCCACAGGGCCACCUUCUGCAUGGCUCCCACCGCAGCUGAGUCUCCAAGGAAGCUGGGUUUUUACAGGGGCAGGUCCUCAAGGUGGAUACCCCUUUGCUAAAGGCUCUGCCCCAGCAACCCACAAGCAGCCACUUGCCCUGGGCUCCAGGCGGCUGCCCUCCCCUUGCUGUCCUCUGGACUGUUUAGUAUGCAGAAGGACCAGCCCUGCAAGGCCACCAUAAAUCCUGCCCCUGUCCUACAGCAGAUCAAUUGCCAAUCGGCUCCAAAUCCCCUAGAUGUCUCAGCAGCUUGGCCCAGCUGUAGGAGCCACGGCCAUGGUUGGCUCUAGAUGCUGCUGGCUAUAUAUAUUGAACUUGAAGCAUCGGAUUACAUGUUUGUUCAAUAGCAAUAAACUCCCAAAGUUUUAUGGGGUCAUAAAACCGCUGUCUCGGCUCCCACUUAGGUGGUAUGUAAUGUACACAGGCUGGUUUCCCCGCUAAUGGGGCGGUGCAAGUGAUUUGGGGCUAUUAGCUGGAAACAUCACAUCUGCAUUUCCCAAAUUCUCAUAAAUAAGGUGGCCCCACCAGAGUGCACC
Molecule: long non-coding RNA, 6388 nt
Filed under: Homo sapiens (human)
Lineage: Eukaryota; Metazoa; Chordata; Mammalia; Primates; Hominidae
Description: non-protein coding lnc-RTN4R-1:7
Source: RNAcentral